AUUUUUUCCUGAGUAAGCCCUUAGCUUUUAUUUUCCAGACCUUUUAUGCACACACAUUUGAUUCUAAAUAGUAAUAUGUGAAUGGAAGACAUGUAGGAAGACCCUGUACUGUACCACAGUGACUAAGAGCCUGUGUCUUUCUCCACUCUAAUAGGCAUUAUCUCAGCUCCAAAGACAGAUAACCCAGUGGAAGAAUACAAUGUUCUAGAAGGCAGUAAUACUCCCGGACAGAAGGAGACUGUAUCCUUGAAUUCUCUAAUUUUAUAGUGACAAGAGCAAGAAAUAAGACUUUUUUUUUUUGUGGCAUAAGAAUCUUGCUGUGAACCAGGAAUGUUGCUGAAGGCAAGAGAAACAACCUCAAAGAGAAAUGACAGAAGACCAGAUGUAAAUGUUUUAUAUCCGUAUCAAAAUAUGCUGUUGGAGACUGAGGAGAAUUUGUUAUAAGACAAUAAAAUGCCGAAGUCACUUUGAAGUCAAAGUACUGGCAUUUAUUUUACAGGAGAAAAAAACAGGAAAGAAAUUUAAAGUAAAAGGAAGAUUGACCACACAGUACGCUCAGCGGAGAUCUCAACGAGGUAGUAAGUAUAAAAUAGCCUUAGAGACAAACCUACUAUAGCUUUUUCCUAACAAAGAUUAUAAAUAAGUCUCCAUGUAAUAAAGCCAAGAG
Molecule: long non-coding RNA, 667 nt
Filed under: Fukomys damarensis (Damara mole-rat)
Lineage: Eukaryota; Metazoa; Chordata; Mammalia; Rodentia; Bathyergidae
Description: lncRNA (ENSFDAG00000027887.1)
Source: RNAcentral